RNAcentral lists this ribosomal RNA (470 nucleotides) under uncultured bacterium. Its description in RNAcentral is "bacterial SSU rRNA". It matches the Rfam family "Bacterial small subunit ribosomal RNA", at positions 335 to 796 of the family's 1533-position model. The record is from RNAcentral.
ACUCCUACGGGAGGCAGCAGUGGGGAAUAUUGCACAAUGGGCGCAAGCCUGAUGCAGCCAUGCCGCGUGUAUGAAGAAGGCCUUCGGGUUGUAAAGUACUUUCAGCAGUGAGGAAGGUGGGUAUGUUAAUAGCAUACUCAUUUGACGUUAGCUGCAGAAGAAGCACCGGCUAACUCCGUGCCAGCAGCCGCGGUAAUACGGAGGGUGCGAGCGUUAAUCGGAAUUACUGGGCGUAAAGCGCAUGCAGGUGGUUUGUUAAGUCAGAUGUGAAAGCCCGGGGCUCAACCUCGGAAUUGCAUUUGAAACUGGCAAACUAGAGUACUGUAGAGGGGGGUAGAAUUUCAGGUGUAGCGGUGAAAUGCGUAGAGAUCUGAAGGAAUACCGGUGGCGAAGGCGGCCCCCUGGACAGAUACUGACACUCAGAUGCGAAAGCGUGGGGAGCAAACAGGAUUAGAUACCCUGGUAGGCUC